CACGUGGGUAACCUGCCUGUAAGACUGGGAUAACUCCCGGAAACCGGGGCUAAUACCGGAUGGUUGUUUGAACCGCAUGGUUCAGACAUAAAAGGUGGCUUCGGCUACCACUUACAGAUGGACCCGCGGCGCAUUAGCUAGUUGGUGAGGUAACGGCUCACCAAGGCAACGAUGCGUAGCCGACCUGAGAGGGUGAUCGGCCACACUGGGACUGAGACACGGCCCAGACUCCUACGGGAGGCAGCAGUAGGGAAUCUUCCGCAAUGGACGAAAGUCUGACGGAGCAACGCCGCGUGAGUGAUGAAGGUUUUCGGAUCGUAAAGCUCUGUUGUUAGGGAAGAACAAGUGCCGUUCAAAUAGGGCGGCACCUUGACGGUACCUAACCAGAAAGCCACGGCUAACUACGUGCCAGCAGCCGCGGUAAUACGUAGGUGGCAAGCGUUGUCCGGAAUUAUUGGGCGUAAAGGGCUCGCAGGCGGUUUCUUAAGUCUGAUGUGAAAGCCCCCGGCUCAACCGGGGAGGGUCAUUGGAAACUGGGGAACUUGAGUGCAGAAGAGGAGAGUGGAAUUCCACGUGUAGCGGUGAAAUGCGUAGAGAUGUGGAGGAACACCAGUGGCGAAGGCGACUCUCUGGUCUGUAACUGACGCUGAGGAGCGAAAGCGUGGGGAGCGAACAGGAUUAGAUACCCUGGUAGUCCACGCCGUAAACGAUGAGUGCUAAGUGUUAGGGGGUUUCCGCCCCUUAGUGCUGCAGCUAACGCAUUAAGCACUCCGCCUGGGGAGUACGGUCGCAAGACUGAAACUCAAAGGAAUUGACGGGGGCCCGCACAAGCGGUGGAGCAUGUGGUUUAAUUCGAACCAACGCCAAGAACCUUACCAGGUCUUGACAUCCUCUGACAAUCCUAGAGAUAGGACGUCCCCUUCGGGGGCAGAGUGACAGGUGGUGCAUGGUUGUCGUCAGCUCGUGUCGUGAGAUGUUGGGUUAAGUCCCGCAACGAGCGCAACCCUUGAUCUUAGUUGCCAGCAUUCAGUUGGGCACUCUAAGGUGACUGCCGGUGACAAACCGGAGGAAGGUGGGGAUGACGUCAAAUCAUCAUGCCCCUUAUGACCUGGGCUACACACGUGCUACAAUGGACAGAACAAAGGGCAGCGAAACCGCGAGGUUAAGCCAAUCCCACAAAUCUGUUCUCAGUUCGGAUCGCAGUCUGCAACUCGACUGCGUGAAGCUGGAAUCGCUAGUAAUCGCGGAUCAGCAUGCCGCGGUGNNNNNNNNCCCGGGCCUUGUACACACCGCCCAUCGCACCACGAGAGUUUGUAACACCCGAAGUCGGUGAGGUAACC
This 1340-nucleotide ribosomal RNA is filed under the name Bacillus amyloliquefaciens. RNAcentral describes it as "bacterial SSU rRNA". It matches the Rfam family "Bacterial small subunit ribosomal RNA", at positions 114 to 1440 of the family's 1533-position model. The record is from RNAcentral. Lineage: Bacteria; Bacillati; Bacillota; Bacilli; Caryophanales; Bacillaceae.